AGUGGAAUAGCUGGGUCAAAUGAUGGUUCCAUUCCAAGUUUUCUAAGGAAUCUCAAUACUCCUUUCCAGAUUGGCUGCAUCAAUUUGCAAUCCAACCAGCAGU
RNAcentral lists this microRNA precursor (103 nucleotides) under Marmota monax (woodchuck). Lineage: Eukaryota; Metazoa; Chordata; Mammalia; Rodentia; Sciuridae. The record is from RNAcentral.